UUUUUUUAAAAAAAGGGAAAACUUCAAAAACCCCCCCUGUGGUUUCAUGCUUUCUCACUUUAGUACCCUGUGGUUUAAAACGUAUCAAUUUGCCCCUCUGUGGUUUCGUUUUUCUCUUUUUGUUAUCAAUUUUAUUAUUAUUUUUUUCUUAAAUCAGUGACAAAGUUAAAAUUAAAGGAUACUAAAGUGAAUAUUCGAUAAAUAUAGAUGGUUAUCUGAAGUUUUUUUGUAUAUAAUUUAACGAAAUGUUAACGAAAAAGCUUCCGAAAAGAUAAAAAUGAAACCACAGGGAGGCAAAUUGAUACGUUUUAAACCACAUGGUAGUAAAGUGAGAAUGCAUGAAACCAUAUGGGGGGUUUUUGAAGUUUUCCCUUAAAAAAAAGGGUAAAA
RNAcentral lists this long non-coding RNA (390 nucleotides) under Ananas comosus (pineapple). RNAcentral describes it as "long non-coding RNA (ACOM_LNC002431)". Lineage: Eukaryota; Viridiplantae; Streptophyta; Magnoliopsida; Poales; Bromeliaceae. The record is from RNAcentral.